Molecule: non-coding RNA, 932 nt
Organism: Microcebus murinus (gray mouse lemur)
Lineage: Eukaryota; Metazoa; Chordata; Mammalia; Primates; Cheirogaleidae
Source: RefSeq, a predicted model, not a curated record
GGGAGAGAAAGAGGAGAGACGAGCGGUGAGCGAUGAGAGAGAAAGCUGAGGCUGGCAGGGGAAGACUUGUGGAGGGAUGGACAGGCACGUGAGUGGAACCCCUGCUCUCAACCAGGAAGUGUUGAAAAAAAAAACGACCAACGCCCAUCCUAAUUCCCUGGACAAUGUGGAAGGAAAUGUUAAAAGAAGUUAUUCAGAGAGGAGGAAAAUGGUAUAGAUCGAAACAUGGAUCUACAUGAAGAAAGGGAGAGAGCCUCAGUGACUGAACAAGUGAAGGUUGAAGAUGCUGGACUGCACAAUGCUGCUGUCAUGAAGGCAAUCAGAAAUGGCAAAUAGAUAUCCACCUUUGGAUUGAUCAUCUGAGAGUACUGGGAAAUCAUGGACAGGAGGCAGGAGUGAAGUGAAGAAGGUAGAAGUGGGACAAGCUGCUCAGCAGCACGGGAGUCACCUGCUGGCCCCUCUCCUUGGCCAAAUCCAACUGGAAGCCAGCCAUCUGGGAGUUCUUGGGAUACGAUUCAUGGAGACCAGCCUACCUGAUACAGAGAAGGGCAGGAAACAGUGAAGAAUGGAUCUGGGUGAGGGAAUUGAGAAAGACUGGCACAUUUUAUGCCUUUUGUCACAUAGCAUUCAUUCUUACUUAGAAGAUGAAAAAAUUGUCACCCCAACACUGAAGAGACACAGAAUCUCAUCAACUAUCAGAUAGUAAUGGAAUGAUGUAUUCAGUUAUAACUUCAACUGAAAUUUAAAUUGUAACAUUCUCCAUCAUCACAACCUUUCACAGAAGAUAUUAAGGAAAGAGGAGAAAAAUAAUCAAUCAACACAAAAUAUGCAUAAUGACUACGGUACCUGGCUCUGUCUCCCAUUACUAGACCAAAGAUUGUUGUAUUUUCUUUCUUCCAGCAUCCAUUAAAUAUUCUCCUUAUACUCUGCUA